This 297-nucleotide long non-coding RNA is filed under the name Nicotiana benthamiana. RNAcentral describes it as "long non-coding RNA (NBEN_LNC025095)". The record is from RNAcentral. Lineage: Eukaryota; Viridiplantae; Streptophyta; Magnoliopsida; Solanales; Solanaceae.
UUUAAUACACCAGAAAACGAGAGAAGCAUAAAGCAGAGAGAGUAAUUCAAUCUGUGAGAUAAAUAGUGAAUGUGAGUUAUAUUAUAGUGAUGUGUUUAAAAUAAAGAGUGUUUUUUCUUUCGAAGUUGUAGUAGUCUUUUGGCACUAGUAAAUUGCUAUAUUGUAGCGGUAAUAUUGAUCCGCUCAGAUAUUGUAUUUUACCCCGUUAAAAGAUUUGGUGUCGUUAUUACUCUCUUGUAUUACUAUGAUUUAUCGUGAAUAUUAUUUCUGGGCGGAAUAUUAUUUUUUAUCCCAACA